AGCCACCCUUUAAAGAAAGCGUAACAGCUCGUUGAUCCAGUUUUGUCGCGCUGAAAAUGUAUAGAGACUCAAAAUAUUAACCGAAACGGCGAAUUUUAAAUGAAAAUGGUAGCGGAACGUUCUGUAUUUUUUAGAAGGCAAGUUGUAAAAUUUGCUGGAGAAAUCAGAAGCGAGUAUACUGGCAUGAGUAGCGAUAAAUAAUGUGAAAAACAUUAUCACCGUAAAUCCAAGGGUUUCGUAGCACGGCUAAUCCGCUACGA
This 260-nucleotide ribosomal RNA is filed under the name uncultured Florenciella. RNAcentral's name for it is "partial Bacterial large subunit ribosomal RNA". It matches the Rfam family "Bacterial large subunit ribosomal RNA", at positions 1114 to 1378 of the family's 2925-position model. Lineage: Eukaryota; Dictyochophyceae; Florenciellales. The record is from RNAcentral.